UAUAGUUCACAUAUCAUAACCACGGCUGU
RNAcentral lists this non-coding RNA (29 nucleotides) under Mus musculus (house mouse). The record is from RNAcentral. Lineage: Eukaryota; Metazoa; Chordata; Mammalia; Rodentia; Muridae.